Molecule: ribosomal RNA, 498 nt
Filed under: uncultured bacterium
Lineage: Bacteria
Description: bacterial SSU rRNA
Rfam family: Bacterial small subunit ribosomal RNA
Source: RNAcentral
ACGCGAAAGCCCCCUUCGGGGGGCAAGUAGAGUGGCGCACGGGUGAGUAACACGUAGGUAAUCUACCUUUGGAUGGGGAAUAACCACCGGAAACGGUGGCUAAUACCGCAUAAUGCAGCGGCACCUAAUGGUGACAGUUGUUAAAGCGGGGGAUCGCAAGACCUCGCGUCUGAAGAGGAGCCUGCGGCAGAUUAGCUAGUUGGUAAGGUAACGGCUUACCAAGGCGAUGAUCUGUAGCCGGCCUGAGAGGGCGGUCGGCCACACUGACACUGACAUACGGGUCAGACUCCUACGGGAGGCAGCAGUCGGGAAUUUUGGGCAAUGGGCGAAAGCCUGACCCAGCAACGCCGCGUGAAGGAUGAAAUCCCUCGGGAUGUAAACUUCGCAAGAACGGGAAGAAUAAGUAAGGGUUAAUAUCUCUUACGAUGACGGUACCGUUUGUAAGCUCCGGCUAACUCCGUGCCAGCAGCCGCGGUAAUACGGGGGGAGCAAGCGUUG